RNAcentral lists this ribosomal RNA (522 nucleotides) under uncultured bacterium. RNAcentral's name for it is "bacterial SSU rRNA". It matches the Rfam family "Bacterial small subunit ribosomal RNA", at positions 16 to 518 of the family's 1533-position model. The record is from RNAcentral.
AUCAUGGCUCAGAACGAACGCUGGUAGCGUGGAUUAGGCAUGCAAGUCGAACGGGAUCCGGGAGGCAGCAAUACUCCUGGUGAGAGUGGCGGAUUGGGGAGGAACACGUGAGCAACCUGCCUUUGAGUCGGGGAAAACCGUUGGAAACGACGGCUAAUACCGGAUGUGGCGCCCGGAGACAUCUUCGGAGCGCUAAAGGGGGCCGCAAGGCUCUCGCUCGUAGAGGGGCUCGCGCACCAUCAGCUUGUUGGCGGGGUAACGGCCCACCAAGGCCUACGGUUAGCUGGUCUGAGAGGAUGACCAGCCCCACUGGGACUGAGAUACUGCCCAGACUCCUACGGGAGGCUGCAGUCGAGGAUCAUUUGCAAUGGGCGAAAGCCUGACAAUGCGACGCUGCGUGGAGGAUGAAGGCCUUCGGGUUGUAAACUCCUGUCAUGGGGGAACAGGCGAGGGGACCCAACACGUCCCUUAGUUGAGUGUACCCCAAGAGGAAUUGGCGGCUAACUCUGUGCCAGCCGCCGC